UACCAAGACUACGAUGGUUAGCGGGUCUGAGAGGAUGAUCCGUCACACUGGCACUGAAACACGGGCCAGACUCCUACGGGAGGCAGCAGUGAGGAAUAUUGCGCAAUGGGGGAAACCCUGACGCAGCGACGCCGCGUGGGUGAGGAAGGCUUUCGGGUCGUAAAGCUCUGUCAGAAGGGAAGAAGUGCUUAUAGGCUAAUACCUUGUAAGUUUGACGGUACCUUCAAAGGAAGCACCGGCUAACUCCGUGCCAGCAGCCGCGGUAAUACGGAGGGUGCAAGCGUUGUUCGGAAUCACUGGGCGUAAAGGGCGCGUAGGCGGCUUGGCAAGUCAGAUGUGAAAGCCCACGGCUUAACCGUGGAAGUGCAUUUGAAACUGCUUGGCUUGAGUAUCAGGGGGGAAAGUGGAAUUCCCGGUGUAGAGGUGAAAUUCGUAGAUAUCGGGAGGAAUACCGGUGGCGAAGGCGACUUUCUGGCUGAAUACUGACGCUGAGGCGCGAAAGCGUGGGGAGCAAACAGGAUUAGAUACCCUGGUAGUCCACGCCGUAAACGAUGUCAACUAGGUGCAGGGGGUGUUGAUCCCCUCUGUGUCGCAGCUAACGCAUUAAGUUGACCGCCUGGGGAGUACGGUCGCAAGAUUAAAACUCAAAGGGAUUGACGGGGGCCCGCACAAGCGGUGGAGUAUGUGGUUUAAUUCGAUGCAACGCGAAGAACCUUACCUGGUCUUGACAUCCCGAAAAAGCCCUAGAAAUAGGGAAGUGCUCUCUUUGAGAGAAUUUGGUGACAGGUGCUGCAUGGCUGUCGUCAGCUCGUGUCGUGAGAUGUUGGGUUAAGUCCCGCAACGAGCGCAACCCUCGCCAUUAGUUGCCAGCAUUAAGUUGGGCACUCUAAUGGGACUGCCGGUGUCAAACCGGAGGAAGGCGGGGAUGACGUCAAGUCCUCAUGGCCUUUAUGACCAGGGCUACACACGUACUACAAUGGCCGGUACAACGGGCUGCCACUUCGCGAGAAGGCGCAAAUCCCUAAAAGCCGGUCUCAGUCCGGAUUGGAGUCUGCAACUCGACUCCAUGAAGUUGGAAUCGCUAGUAAUCGUGGAUCAGCAUGCCGCGGUGAAUACGUUCCCGGGCCUUGUACACACCGCCCGUCACACCACGGGAGUUGGUUGUACCAGAAGCGGUUGAGCUAACCUUCGGGGGGCAGGCUGCCAAGGUAUGGCUGGUAACUGGGGUGAAGUCGUAACAAGGUA
Molecule: ribosomal RNA, 1245 nt
Filed under: metagenome
Description: bacterial SSU rRNA
Rfam family: Bacterial small subunit ribosomal RNA
Source: RNAcentral